Molecule: long non-coding RNA, 1788 nt
Filed under: Homo sapiens (human)
Lineage: Eukaryota; Metazoa; Chordata; Mammalia; Primates; Hominidae
Description: non-protein coding LINC02576:8
Source: RNAcentral
GUAUUGUUCUGUGUAAAGCUGAUGGUGCUGUUCACAUCAGAAAUUGCAGCACUGAAGAACAGAGUUCAUGCAGACUUUUACAACAUGCAUCAGCUACAGCAUUUGUUUGUUGAUGGUACCAGCUGUCAAAAACCAAGCAAGUGGCAGUGCUAGAGGUGCCACAAAAGUGCGAAGGAAGUGUCAGGCUGGAUGUCAAAAUGAACACCUUGGAGAACUGGAUGAUGGAACAGACGGUAAAAAUCAGCUAAACAUCAGAGAAAAUGGAGGAAGAGGUCAAAACUGUGAACAGGAACUAGAAGAAAGUGUAGCAGAAAAAGACUUGUCACAAACUUCGAGAGAUUUGGAGAAAAUGAUGUCAAAACACAUCUUCCUCAAGCCCAUGCUGAGUAUCUCUGAUUUGGUUAAUUUCUUGACCCAGAGAUGCUGGGUGGCCUCUGGCCGCUGACCUCCUGAUUGCCAUCCCUCCCCCAUCACCACAACUCAAUAAUCAAACCAGCAACUGAGGAGUUACUCUACACUCUUCUUUACCUCCCAACCACCCCGUUCCAGCUGCUAAUCAUCAUGCUGAUUCUACCUGUAAAAUACAGCUCGAUUUGUUUGGUUUUCUCCAUCUCCACAGCUGGCACCCUCUCUACGUCUCUGCCAUCUGUCACCUAGACAACACAGCAUCUUCCAAAUGAGUGCCUCUAUUUCCAGGGUGAUCUUAAAACAGAAAUCAGAUUUUCACCCCUGCUGAAUAUCCUUCAGGGUCUCUUCUCUGCACCCAGCUGGAAUCCAAACACUGGUCCAGGAAGCCCCGCCUGCCUCUCCUGCCUCACCCAGAUGGCUCUACCCUUUGCCCACCUCACUUCAGCCACAGUGGCCUCACCUAAGUGCCUCCACAUUUGGUAUCUAUUCAUUCUCUAGCCAGUGCACCUCAGAAUGCCUGGAAUUCAGCUGGGCAUGGUGGCCCAUUCCUGUAAUUCCAGCACUUUGUGAGGCCAAGGUGGGUGGAUCACUUGAGGUCAGGAGUUCGAGACCAGCCUGACCAACAUGGGGAACCCCCGUCUCUACCGAAAAUACAAAAAUUAGUUGGGCAUAGUGGUGCGUGCCUGUAAUCCCAGCCACUCUGGAGGCCGAGGUAGGAGAAUUGCUUGAACCUGGAGGUGGAGGUUGCAGUGAGCCAAGAUUGUGCCACUGCACUCCAGCCUGGGCGACACAGCAAGAUUCUGUCUCAAACAAACAAACAAACAAAUAAAAAGAAUGCCUGGAAUUCCUGUCCUUUCCCAUCACUUGUUGUCUCUUUCUCAUCUUUCCAGCCUCAGCUUAAAUGUCACCUCCUCAGGGGAGCCUUCCCUGGUCACAUGAUCUUUAAUAGGUCAUCCAUGUUUUUCUUCCCUCAGCACCUCAUUUGUUUCCUUCCCAGUACUUAAUGUAAUAGAUCAUUAUUCUUUGUGUAUUUAAGUGUCUCCCCAUGGUGGGUGCAGUGGCUCAUGCCUGUAAUCCCAGUACUUUGGGAGGCUGAGGCAGGAGGAUUACUUGUGUCCAGGAGUUUGAGACCAGCCUGGGCAACAUAGUGAGAUCCUGUCUCUAUAAAAAAAAUUACAAAUUAGCCAAGUGUGGUGGUGCAGACCUGUAGUCCCAGUUACUCGGGAGGCUAAGGCGGGAGGAUCACUUGAGCCUGGGAGGUCGAGGCUAAAGUGAGCUGAGAUGGUGCCACUGAACUCCAGCUUGGGUGUCAGAGUGAGACCCUAAAAAAGAAAAAGUUAAAUUAAAUAAUUGUUUCCCCAACUACACUAUAAUCUCCAU